AUACGUAGGUGGCAAGCGUUGUCCGGAUUUAUUGGGUUUAAAGGGUGCGUAGGCGGCCCGUUAAGUCAGCGGUGAAAUACCCAGGCCUAACCUGGGGGGUGCCGUUGAUACUGGCGGGCUUGGGUUCUGUAGAGGCAGGCGGAAUUGACGGUGUAGCGGUGAAAUGCAUAGAUAUCACAUAGAACACCAGUGGCGAAGGCGGUGAGCUGGGUCAUUAUUGACGCUCAUGCACGAAAGUGUGGGUAGC
Molecule: ribosomal RNA, 247 nt
Filed under: uncultured bacterium
Lineage: Bacteria
Description: partial 16S ribosomal RNA
Rfam family: Bacterial small subunit ribosomal RNA
Source: RNAcentral